CCAUUGUGACCUUACCUAUGUUCUGUUGCCUCGGGGGCGUGGUCAGCGCCCCUUGGAAUGGGACGAUGCCCUCCCGCCGGCAGCACCAAACUCUUUGAAAUUUAGAGCGGAUUUUAGUUUCUGAUUUGAAAACAAAAAAACAAGUUAAAACUUUCAACAACGGAUCUCUUGGUUCUGGCAUCGAUGAAGAACGCAGCGAAAUGCGAUAAGUAAUGUGAAUUGCAGAAUUCAGUGAAUCAUCGAAUCUUUGAACGCACAUUGCGCCCGGCAGCAAUCUGCCGGGCAUGCCUGUCCGAGCGUCAUUUCAACCCUCGAACCUCCGUUUCCUCAGGGAAGCUCAGGGUCGGUGUUGGGGCGCUACGGCGAGUCUUCGCGACCCUCCGUAGGCCCUGAAAUACAGUGGCGGUCCCGCCGCGGUUGCCUUCUGGGUAGUAAGUCUCUUUUGCAAGCUCGCAUUGGGUCCCGGCGGAGGCCUGCCGUCAAACCACCUAUAACUCCAGAUGGGUUGACCUCGGAUCAGGUAGGGUUACCCGCUGAACUUAAGCAUAUCAGUAGCCGGAGGAAAAUUACAGAGUUACUACUCCAAACCCAUUGUGAACCUUACCUAUGUUCUGUUGCCUCGGCGGCGUGGUCAGCGCCCCUCUGAAAAGAGGACGAUGCCCUCCCGCCGGCAGCCCAAACUCUUUGAAUUUUAAGGCGGAUUUUUAGUUUCUGAUUU
Molecule: ribosomal RNA, 718 nt
Filed under: Scedosporium boydii
Lineage: Eukaryota; Fungi; Ascomycota; Sordariomycetes; Microascales; Microascaceae
Description: eukaryotic LSU rRNA
Rfam family: 5.8S ribosomal RNA (bases 149-302)
Source: RNAcentral